Long non-coding RNA from Gallus gallus (chicken), 510 nucleotides. RefSeq lists it as uncharacterized. The transcript is spliced from 2 exons. The record is from RefSeq and is a predicted model, not a curated record. NCBI's taxonomy places the organism in Eukaryota, Metazoa, Chordata, Aves, Galliformes, Phasianidae.
AACCCCAAAAUCCGUGAGUUAUCACACCUGUGGAAGCGUUUGACAGAGGGAUCCCAGAGCAGCUGGCAGUCGUUGCUCAGCACCGGCGCUCCGUUGUGCUCUCAGACAAUCCGGGUUCACCCAGCAAAGCAGCCCCGGAGCAACGCGUGCAGAACGUCGCAGUGCAAACAGCGGAGGGGCGCGGGGGUGGGGGGUCGGGGGGGUGAGGAGGGUCUGCCUCUGCUUGGCAGCUCCUGGAGGAACUGCUGCCUUUCUUUCUUUUCAGCUGAUUCAUUUUUGUUUCCAAUUUCCAGAGGAAAUGUAACUCGGGUGAAACCUGGCGCAGAGCUCCGAAGCCGGAGGGUCCGAGAAAGCGGCGCAAAGGGAAGAAAAAGAGCAGCGAGGGCUGUACUUACAGAGCUGGCAGGAAUUUCAUUCAAAGGGAAGAAAGAGGAAAAAAGAAAGAAAAAGGAAGGGGAAAAAAAAAAGAAAGAAACCUCAACAAAUAAAGCCGCGUUCUUAACUCCGCGA